This 460-nucleotide ribosomal RNA is filed under the name Flavobacterium cheniae. Its description in RNAcentral is "bacterial SSU rRNA". It matches the Rfam family "Bacterial small subunit ribosomal RNA", at positions 8 to 468 of the family's 1533-position model. The record is from RNAcentral. Lineage: Bacteria; Pseudomonadati; Bacteroidota; Flavobacteriia; Flavobacteriales; Flavobacteriaceae.
AGAGUUUGAUUCCUGGCUCAGGAUGAACGCUAGCGGCAGGCCUAACACAUGCAAGUCGAGGGGUAGAGUUCUUCGGAACUUGAGACCGGCGCACGGGUGCGUAACGCGUAUGCAAUCUACCUUAUACAGGGGAAUAGCCCAGAGAAAUUUGGAUUAAUGCCCCAUAGUGUUAUCGAAUCGCAUGGUUUGAUAACUAAAGUUCCAACGGUAUAAGAUGAGCAUGCGUCCCAUUAGUUAGUUGGUAAGGUAACGGCUUACCAAGACAAUGAUGGGUAGGGGUCCUGAGAGGGAGAUCCCCCACACUGGUACUGAGACACGGACCAGACUCCUACGGGAGGCAGCAGUGAGGAAUAUUGGUCAAUGGGCGCAAGCCUGAACCAGCCAUGCCGCGUGCAGGAAGACGGUCCUAUGGAUUGUAAACUGCUUUUAUACAGGAAGAAACACCUCCACGUGUGGAGGC